Long non-coding RNA from Xenopus laevis (African clawed frog), 793 nucleotides. RefSeq lists it as uncharacterized. The record is from RefSeq and is a predicted model, not a curated record. The transcript has 4 exons. NCBI's taxonomy places the organism in Eukaryota, Metazoa, Chordata, Amphibia, Anura, Pipidae.
CAUACAAAAAGAAAAGAAGAACAAAUUAAACAAUACACAAAAUAAGGGGGGGAAAGGGUACAAAAAAUAAAUUCAAGGGGGCGUUGGGGAGGUGGUGUAUUAGUCAUAUAUCCCACUGUUCAUAACCACUUCGACGUUUGUUCCGUAUAUGUUCUCCAUACAUAUUUUCUUUUGCUAUCUGCUACUUUAUUCUCCUCUUGUUUUUCAAUUUUGAUCUAAUGAUUCCCUAAAUCUGUACCACGGGGUCCAAAUCUUCCAAUAAGUUACACUGUUAUUAUGAUAUAAAUACGUUAACUCCUCUAACUGUCUUAUUUCUUCUACUGAUCUCAUCCAUUCGUUAAAUGAGGGCGGUUCCUUGGAUUUCCAAUGUUUUGGAAUUAGGGAUUUAGCUACUUGAAUUAGAUAAAAGGAGCGACAAAACGAUGGUAAUUUAUAUUCACCUGAAUUGAGAAGAAUAUCGUAUACCUUUGAGAGAGGUUUCAUCAGGUCUGGGUACAAACCCUGCUUGAUCCUGAUGAAUAAUUGAAGCUUGGAGCCCAAGGCUAUCAGAUAGCCUCUUAAGACGCAUUUUACAGUUUCCCAUAGAGUUGACGAUGAUAUUUCUGGUGUUAAAUUGUUUGUUACUAUUUGUUUAAUCCAUUUUUGUAUCAUAUCCUUAUUGUCUGCAUUAUGUAAUAGAAAUUCAUUUAAUCGCCAAUUAAAUUCUGGUUUAAUUACUCCUGGUAUCAUAUAUUUCGUGAUUACCGGUGCAUGAUCUGAUGUUAAUGAUGUGGCUAUAUCGGCUUUUUGAAAU